GCCCACAACAAGUAUCGUAGCCGAUGAAUCCCCACACGCUGUCUAGUGGUGAAGAAAUGAUGCCCCCAACAACAACCAUGAUCGAUGGUGGUCGACAAAGCAAAGAAAAAUAACAAAAAAAAUAGGGGACACUUUGUUCACGAUCUCCCAACAACUUGCCAUCUCUAAACAAGGUGGUUGUAAUGACUAUCAACUCAGAAAAGGAGGAACACAACUUAGAUCCCUGACCUAAAUCUGGCGAAGCCAAAAUGGAUGAUUCCAACGAUUUUUUUCCAGCCAAAAGUUCAAGAAACAAUGCUGCAAAAAGCUCAAAACCAAUGGUGAUUGCUUGGGAUUUUGAUGGAGUUCAAAGGAGGAGAUUGGCCUUUAUAGAUGAGAUCCUAGAGUUUUUAACUCAAAUUUGACACACUCUAGAAUCCUUAGUUCUGAUGGAGUUGGUAGGGAAGA
Molecule: long non-coding RNA, 447 nt
Filed under: Elaeis guineensis (African oil palm)
Lineage: Eukaryota; Viridiplantae; Streptophyta; Magnoliopsida; Arecales; Arecaceae
Description: long non-coding RNA (EGUI_LNC030433)
Source: RNAcentral